This 1335-nucleotide long non-coding RNA is filed under the name Equus caballus (horse). RNAcentral's name for it is "lncRNA (ENSECAG00000048457.1)". Lineage: Eukaryota; Metazoa; Chordata; Mammalia; Perissodactyla; Equidae. The record is from RNAcentral.
ACUGAGGAUGUCCCAGUCACCCUUUGUCACCCCACACUUAGCCUAAUGCCAGAGGUCUGAGAUGAAGGAGGUGAGGGGGUCUUGGUAACGAGAAUGUGCCUCAUCCAAGCUGCAUGGAUCCAUGCCCCUGCACUGGAGUCGCAGAAUGGGGAGCGGCUGCAAGAAAGGUCCCCUGGGAGGCUGGAGAACAGGAGUGGGGUGGAGUUAGUGUCAGGGUCCCUCUGCAGCCUGAAAGUCACUUGAGAAACAAUUGUUGAGCACCUACUAGUGGCAAGAUAGGAGAUCAAGGACCAUGAAGACGUCCGCAUGUGCGGGCACACACACCCCAGUAAGACAAAUCAUAGUGUAGUGGUGGCCUUGGCUGUACAUAGAAAGAGGCAUCCUAGAGAAGGGGAGGUCUGAGCAGAGAGAUGACAGGUUGAGCACUCCUGGCAGAGGGAGUGGCAUGAUGGAGAAAGAGAAUGAGAUGGAGGACAAGUGCAGCGUGCCCAGGUAUAAUGUGCCUAGGGGAUAGAGGGGGUGUGGCAAGUGGGGAGAGGGAUGAGAGUAUGGUGGGAAAUGAGGCUGGAAGGAGAGAUGAGGCCACGACACAGAGGAGAGACUCAGAAUGCUGCAUAACCUCCCUGAGCCCCAUGGUCUUCGUUACUGCAAAUGGGACGUGGAAUCCAGGAAUGAGAGGAGGAAGGAGAAAAGGACCACUCUGAGAGAGGACAGGAGAGAGGAAGGCAGCCCCAGAAGCAAGAGCCUAUUCUUCUGACCCUAAACUGAGAUAUGCUGAGUAACUGCAAAAGGCACAUGUUAAACUACAUUUUCCAGCCCUCUUGCUUUGAGGCUGGCCAUGUCACUGAGUUCUGGCAAUGAAACGGGCACAGAAGUGAUUUUUGUCACUUUCAGGCCUGAUCCAUAAAAACCUCGAUCCGUCAUCCCCUUUUCCAUCAUCCCUAUCUGGAUGACCCAGGGCACCACGAAGCCAUGUGAUGAAGAUGGGGAGAGCUUGGUCCCUGAAUGAUUACAUGGAGCAGAGCACCCUUCACCCUGCCCGCUGCCACCUACACUGAACUAUGACUUGGAUGAAAUAAACCUUCCCUGUGUUAAUCCGGUGAGAGUUUAGCUUAUCCUGACUAACAGCACCAUGAAGGUCUGAAGCCAAGUCCAUCAAACUCUGAAGACCAUCCUCUCUCAUGAAGCCAUAUUGCCACACAAUAUAGCAGAAAUAUAAAAGUCAAACUAUAAAAUAUUAUCUAAUUCCGCAGCUCACCUCUUCCCUGCCAUACCUCUUCCACGACCAAGAACUAGAUUCCUAAAGAUUUUCAAGGAAAUUGGGAAAACGAAAAC